RNAcentral lists this non-coding RNA (225 nucleotides) under Bradyrhizobium manausense. Lineage: Bacteria; Pseudomonadati; Pseudomonadota; Alphaproteobacteria; Hyphomicrobiales; Nitrobacteraceae. The record is from RNAcentral.
GAUAAUCGCAGGCGUCGAGGUUCUCUAGAUCUAGCUUGAUCUGGAGCUAAGAGGGAAGCCGGUGCGCUUUCGAUUCGUUCAGGAUCAAAGCAAUGCCGGCGCUGCCCCCGCAACUGUAAGCGGCGAGCCCGUAUCCAAACGCGUCACUGAAGCAAACGCUUCGGGAAGGCCGGAUGCAGGCGAUGACCCGCGAGCCAGGAGACCUGCCCCGACAACAUAAUCGUC